UCUGGGUAAACGCUAUAUAUUUUAUAUAUAGAGGAAAGUCCACACUCGCACUAGCUGCGAUGCUAGUAGUGUUUGUGCCUAGGGAAAAAAUAACUUAGGGCAAGUUUACUUGACGGCGUCUGAUUACCUAAGGCUUUGCUAUGGUAGGAAGAUAUAAAGUGCAACAGUGACGAAUUAUUGGGAAACUGAUAAGUGAAACGGGUAAACCCCGCAAGCGAGAAACUCAAAUUUUGGUAGAGGAGCUAUUCUUAGGGAAUUGAACCAAGGAAUGGAUACGAGAGUAUAGAUAAAUGUUUACCGCCUUCUUUCGAAGGUACAGAAAGUGGCUUAUAA
This 333-nucleotide RNase P RNA is filed under the name bovine gut metagenome. Its description in RNAcentral is "Bacterial RNase P class B". It matches the Rfam family "Bacterial RNase P class B". Rfam says of the family: Ribonuclease P (RNase P) is a ubiquitous endoribonuclease, found in archaea, bacteria and eukarya as well as chloroplasts and mitochondria. The record is from RNAcentral.